Molecule: ribosomal RNA, 336 nt
Filed under: uncultured bacterium
Lineage: Bacteria
Description: bacterial SSU rRNA
Rfam family: Bacterial small subunit ribosomal RNA
Source: RNAcentral
CUAUGCGCCUUGCCAGCCCGCUCAGUCAGAGUUUGAUCCUGGCUCAGAAUCAACGCUGGCGGCGCGCUUAACACAUGCAAGUCGAACGAGAAAGCCCGCAAGGGUGAGUAAAGUGGCGUACGGGUGAGUAACACGUGGGUAAUCUACCUUUUGGUGGGGAAUAACCCUGGGAAACCGGGGCUAAUACCGCAUAAGCUCGAGAGAGGAAAGGAGCAAUUCGCCGAAAGAGGAGCCCGCGGCUGAUUAGCUAGUUGGUGAGGUAAAGGCUCACCAAGCAAUGAUCGGUAGCCGGCCUGAGAGGGCACACGGCCACACUGGCACUGAAACACGGGCCAG